This 274-nucleotide ribosomal RNA is filed under the name uncultured bacterium. RNAcentral's name for it is "partial 16S ribosomal RNA". It matches the Rfam family "Bacterial small subunit ribosomal RNA", at positions 523 to 796 of the family's 1533-position model. The record is from RNAcentral.
AUACGGAGGGUCCAAGCGUUAUCCGGAUUCAUAGGGUUUAAAGGGUCCGCAGGCGGGAAAAUAAGUCAGUGGUGAAAGCCUACAGCUCAACUGUAGAACUGCCAUUGAUACUGUUUUUCUUGAGUAUAGAUGAAGUGGGCGGAAUAUAUCAUGUAGCGGUGAAAUGCAUAGAUAUGAUAUAGAACACCGAUUGCGAAGGCAGCUGACUAAACUAUUACUGACGCUCAGGGACGAAAGCGUGGGGAGCGAACAGGAUUAGAUACCCUAGUAGUCC